This 497-nucleotide ribosomal RNA is filed under the name uncultured bacterium. RNAcentral describes it as "partial 16S ribosomal RNA". It matches the Rfam family "Bacterial small subunit ribosomal RNA", at positions 28 to 507 of the family's 1533-position model. The record is from RNAcentral.
GAUGAACGCUGGCGGCGUGCCUAAUACAUGCAAGUCGAGCGAACAGACGAGGAGCUUGCUCCUCUGACGUUAGCGGCGGACGGGUGAGUAACACGUGGAUAACCUACCUAUAAGACUGGGAUAACUUCGGGAAACCGGAGCUAAUACCGGAUAAUAUAUUGAACCGCAUGGUUCAAUAGUGAAAGACGGUUUUGCUGGCACUUAUAGAUGGAUCCGCGCCGCAUUAGCUAGUUGGUAAGGUAACGGCUUACCAAGGCAACGAUGCGUAGCCGACCUGAGAGGGUGAUCGGCCACACUGGAACUGAGACACGGUCCAGACUCCUACGGGAGGCAGCAGUAGGGAAUCUUCCGCAAUGGGCGAAAGCCUGACGGAGCAACGCCGCGUGAGUGAUGAAGGUCUUCGGAUCGUAAAACUCUGUUAUUAGGGAAGAACAAAUGUGUAAGUAACUAUGCACGUCUCGACGGUACCUAAUCAGAAAGCCACGGCUAACUACGUG